This 432-nucleotide ribosomal RNA is filed under the name uncultured Alphaproteobacteria bacterium. RNAcentral describes it as "bacterial SSU rRNA". It matches the Rfam family "Bacterial small subunit ribosomal RNA", at positions 31 to 497 of the family's 1533-position model. Lineage: Bacteria; Pseudomonadati; Pseudomonadota; Alphaproteobacteria. The record is from RNAcentral.
GAACGCUUGCUGCAUGCUUUAUACAUGCAAGUCGAACGAAGGCCCUAGCUUGCUAGGUGUCCUUAGUGGCGCACGGGUGAGUAACACGUGGGAACAUACCUUAUAGUACGGAAUAACUGCGGGAAACUGUAGCUAAUACCGUAUAUUCCAGUAAUGGGAAAGAUUUAUCGCUAUAAGAUUGGCCCGCGCAAGAUUAGCUUGUUGGUGAGGUAAAAGCUCACCAAGGCUUCGAUCUUUAGCUGGUUUGAGAGGAUGAUCAGCCACACUGGGACUGAGACACGGCCCAGACUCCUACGGGAGGCAGCAGUAGGGAAUAUUGGACAAUGGGGGCAACCCUGAUCCAGCAAUGCAGCGUGAGUGACGAAGGCCUUAGGGUUGUAAAACUCUUUCAUCGGUGAGGAUAAUGACAGUAGCCGAAGAAGAAGGACCGGC